CAGUGAUCAGCACAGGAAAUUCACUGUAUUCCCCGUUUUGUGCCACAGGGGAAGGACCUUGUCCUCUCUAAGAGGAGGACAGAUACAGCAAUGGGGUUGACUCGAUGCCAAAUGACCGACAUGCUUUAAGCAGAGAUGAACGAGUACUCGUGACACCUGAAACAAGGAAAGAAACCCACACAAGAUCCCAGCAAGGAAGCUGCUGUGUUACACAGGAAACUCCAGCCCAGAAGCAGGUCAUCUAUGAAUGGUUUAACCCCAGGUUCCCCGCCAGUGUGCGUUGUGUGACAGACAAUGCAUGCCUUCUGUCUUGCACAUGGAGGACUGGCCACCACCCUUACCUGAUUCACCUCUUGCCUCAGGCCAUCAGUUUCCUAUCUCUGGCUGAGACAGUCUCAAAGGCCCUUCCAAAGCUGACAUUGC
Molecule: long non-coding RNA, 423 nt
Organism: Dama dama (fallow deer)
Lineage: Eukaryota; Metazoa; Chordata; Mammalia; Artiodactyla; Cervidae
Exons: 3
Source: RefSeq, a predicted model, not a curated record